RNAcentral lists this ribosomal RNA (460 nucleotides) under uncultured bacterium. RNAcentral describes it as "partial 16S ribosomal RNA". It matches the Rfam family "Bacterial small subunit ribosomal RNA", at positions 338 to 795 of the family's 1533-position model. The record is from RNAcentral.
CCUACGGGGUGCAGCAGUGAGGAAUAUUGGUCAAUGGACGAGAGUCUGAACCAGCCAAGUAGCGUGAAGGAUGACUGCCCUAUGGGUUGUAAACUUCUUUUAUAAAGGAAUAAAACGAGGCACGUGUGCCUUUUUGUAUGUACUUUAUGAAUAAGGAUCGGCUAACUCCGUGCCAGCAGCCGCGGUAAUACGGAGGAUCCGAGCGUUAUCCGGAUUUAUUGGGUUUAAAGGGAGCGUAGAUGGGUUGUUAAGUCAGUUGUGAAAGUUUGCGGCUCAACCGUAAAAUUGCAAUUGAUACUGGCAGUCUUGAGUACAGUUGAGGUAGGCGGAAUUCGUGGUGUAGCGGUGAAAUGCUUAGAUAUCACGAAGAACCCCGAUUGCGAAGGCAGCUUACUAAACUGUGACUGACAUUGAUGCUCGAAAGUGUGGGUAUCAAACAGGAUUAGAUACCCCAGUAGUC